RNAcentral lists this long non-coding RNA (16789 nucleotides) under Octopus vulgaris (common octopus). The record is from RNAcentral. Lineage: Eukaryota; Metazoa; Mollusca; Cephalopoda; Octopoda; Octopodidae.
ACCUGUCAUUAGCAUGUGACAUCCACCAGUUGGCAAUGGGAAGUGGCUCUCAAUGCAAAUAUGUAUACUUUUUCCAGUGACGAAAAGUCACUGAUUUUGAAAAAGUGGAAACAAGCAAUAAUAAAUCUCUGAGCGAGGUAUAAACAGUAGCAGCAAGACAUUGUGAUGGGGCACAGAUAGUGUGUCAAUAGCCACUGGAGGAGAUUUCAUCCUGGGGCUACAAGCUACAGUAGAAUCGACCCUUAAGGGUUAGCCACAUUUAGGAUUGUAGAUCUGUUUGUCAACAACAUGCUACCGCUGCAUGUAGUGGAGUCUCCCACCUUGGUUGGCCUGAUCAAGAUGCUAAACCUCAUUAAAACAUUGAUGUCCCACCACACUCUGGGCAGGAUGAUCUUUGCCAGCCAUUAACAGCUGGAGGUGUAUCUUACAAGGUAUUUAUAAAUCAAAAUUAUGCAAGAUUAUUAAAUUAUCAUUAUGGCGUACUUCAUAUUUUCUUAAUUUAAUUUAAUUAUUUAUCAAAUAAUUAUUUUCUUAAUGUAAUAAAAUGUAUAAUAGCUAAUUGAAAUAAAUGUCAUAAUAUACAAUAUAUGGAAUAUAUAUAUAUAUGUAUAUAACCCAUGCUAGCAUGGAAAACGGACGAUAAAUGAUGGUGAUGAUAUAUAUAUUCCACUCAUGAUUAAGUCUGCACAGCCAUUACAGCAGUUUUUAAUCAAAUGACAAAUAAACGAACCUUAAGUUCUAAACUUAUCAAAUUCCGACCAUCAUUCCUCCCUCAUCUUGGUUAUUCAUCAUACCCAACGCAUCACCUAUCAAGGUAGUGUCACUAUUUUCAAAAGUUUAAUAACAAGGCUUUAAAUGAUAAGCAUCAGAUGAAAGUGAAACAUUAGAAGCAAACCAAAAUAUUACCUAAAAAUGACCUCAAAAUUGUGUGACGUGAUCUCGUUUUCAAGGUUAUUUUAGUAGAAAAAAAGAGUUGUAGCAAAAACAUAGUUUAUUUGACAGUCUUUAUAUAUAGAUAGAUGAUAAGCAGCUUUCUUUAUUAUAGUACAGAUGUGACUAAUUCAGAGAAACAUUACUUUCAUUAUUCACACAUCAUCACUCUUGUAAUGCAACACUUUGUAAUUUUUGUUCAAACUGUAAGUGUGACACUAUUUUCACUUUCUAAUGAAACCUGGUCAUUGUAGAGCAGAGACUUUCAAGUAACUAAAGCUGAUUGUCGAGAUAACAUUGAAAAUAUGUAAAAGAAGAUAAAGUUUAUUAGGUAGCCAAAAGAUUACUGAAUCUUUUGAUACCCCAUACGUCAAAAUUCGCAACUCAGUAUUUGAAUGCAUAAGGAACAUAUGUGCACGCAUGCACACACAAACUCUCUUUUAUAUAUAUAGAUAUACAAGUUCUGUGCCAAGAUGGAUGUCCAGAAGGGAUCCUGAGUUCACCAAGGAUAUAUAAAUUUUUCCCAUACUGAAUGUUGAAAAGUGCUUUUCCAAAUAAAUUUAAAUAUUCCUAUUGAUUGUCCAUUAUCAUCAUCAUCAUUUAACAUUCACUUUUCCAUAUUCACAUGGGUCAGAUGGAAUUUGUUGAGGUAGAUUUUCGAUAACUGGAUGCCAUUCCUGUCAUCACCCCUUAUCUGUUUCCAAGUAAGGUAAUAUUUCCCCAUGGCUGGACAUAAUUUCAUGGAAGACUGGAAACAGAAAAACUUGCUUGUAUGAUGUUGAUUUACAACUAUCAUGUGAUAUCUAGACAAAAUUACACACACACACAUGCACGUGCACACACACACAUACAUAUAUGUACAGAGUGUGUAAGAUAUUUGAGGACAGAUCUAAUGUUUAGAAAAAAAACCAUAUAUAACUAGCAGAGAUACCCAGCAUUGCUCAGGGUUAAAAUAGCAUAGUCUUUUAUUGUUUUAUUUGUUUCGGUCAUGUGACUGCGUCCAUGCUGGAGCACUGCUUUUAGUUGAAGAAAUUGAACCCAGGAUUUAUCGGUAUGUUUUGCCGAAUAGCUAAGUUACAGGAUGUAAACACAGCAACAUUGGUUGUCAAGGAUUGGUGGGUGUAUAAAGAGACACACACACUCACAUACACACACAUAUAUAUACAUAUACAUACAUAAAUAUAUAUACACACAGAUAUAUAUAUAUAUAUAUACACACACACAUAUAUAUAUACAUAUAUAUAUGUAUGUAUGUAUGUAUGUCUCUAUUGUACUGUUUUGUUCCCAACUUUGACCCUCCAUAAAUACAAAAUUUUAUUUUGGAAUUUAUGGGAGCAACUGUCUUCAAAGACUCAUAUUGUUGUUGAAUGCUUGAAAUGAGGUGUAGAUAGACAGAAGACAACUGACAUAGACUUGCCCAAAUGCUUCAAUAAAUUAACAUUGAUAUUUUUUUCACCGUUGUUACAAUCAUCUGAAAUAGAACUGUCAAAGUGCAAUAUUUGAGCAAUUUUGCUAUUCAACUUCAAAAAAAGGAUAUAAAGCAACUGAAACUGCUCACAAUAUCAAUGAAAUGUUUGGUGAGGAAAUGACCAAUGAGUGGUCAGUUUGAAAAUGGUUUAAACAAUUUUGCAGUGAAGACCUGAGCCUUGAAGAUCAUGUGUGUAGUGGGCACCCAUUUGUCAUCAAUGACAGUCAGUUAAAGACCAUCAUUGAGAAAGAUCCACGUAAAACCACUCGAGAAGUGGCAAAAGAACUUAGCCAGAAAACUGCUUGCAACCAUUUGCAUUAUUAUCAUCAACAUCAUUGUUUAACAUUUGCCUUCCAUGCUAGCAUGGGUGGGAUGGUUUCACAAGGGCCAGCCAGACAGAAGCCUGCACCAGGCUUCUGUGACAUGAUUGGGAAAUCAAAAAAGUUCAACAAAUGGAUACCACACAAUUUGAAUGAAAAUCAGAAAAUGUGCAGAUAUGAAAUUUGCUCGUCGCUUCUUCUCUGUAACCAGACUGAUCCAUUUCUUGACCAUAUUGUAACUUGUGAUGAAAAGUGGAUUCUAUACAAUAAUAGAAAACAUUCUUCAUGGUGGUUGGAUCAAAAUGAAGCACUGAAAACCUGUAAACCCAAGCUCUUCAAAAAGAAGGUUAGGGUGACAGUUUGGUGGUGUACUGCUGGACUCAUCCACUAUAACUUCUUAAAACCCAGAAAAACCAUUACUGUAGAAACAUAUUGCCAUGAAAUUGCUAAAUGAAUGAAAAUCUGCUAUUCCUCCAUCCUAGACUGGUAAACAGAAGAGGGCCAGUCAUUCUUCAUGACAAUUCUCAACCACACAUUUCACUAAUGGCACUCCAGAAGUUCAAGGAACCUAGCUAUGAAGUUCUUCCCUGCCCAGUUUAUUCCUCAGACCUUUCUCCUAUCGACUACCACUUUUUCAAGCACGUUGAUGAUUUCCUGUGAGAGAAGGAAUUCAACAAUGAAACCGAUGCUGAAAGUGCAUUCAAAGAGUUCGUCAUCUCCAGAACUCCAGAUUUUUAUGUUACCGGAGUAAACAAACUUGUAACUCAUUGGCGAAAAUAUGUUGAUGGCAAUGGUAUUUACUUUGAUGAAUAAAAUUUCAGCAUUGUGAAAUAUAUUGUGAUGAAUUUCAUGUUUCAAAACGUUUUUACUCAGCAUGAUUGAUUGAUUGAUUGAUGUAUUUCAAGAUUUCUUGCCAAUAGAGAAAGAGUCGAUUUCUAACGUAGAUCCAAGGCGACUUCAUUGCAAUUUCAACAUCAACAAGGUAUUUUUGUAUGUAUGUAUGUAUGUAUGUAUGUAUGUAUGUAUGUAUGUAUGUAUGUAUGUAUGUAUGUAUGUAUGUAUGUAUGUAUGUAUGUAUGUAUGUAUGUAUGUAUGUAUGUAUGUAUGUAUGUAUGUAUGUAUGUAUGUAUGUAUGUAUGUAUGUAUGUAUGUAUGUAUGUAUGUAUGUAUGUAUGUAUGUAUGUAUGUAUGUAUGUAUGUAUGUAUGUAUGUAUGUAUGUAUGUAUGUAUGUAUGUAUGUAUGUAUGUAUGUAUGUAUGUAUGUAUGUAUGUAUGUAUGUAUGUAUGUAUGUAUGUAUGUAUGUAUGUAUGUAUGUAUGUAUGUAUGUAUGUAUGUAUGUAUGUAUGUAUGUAUGUAUGUAUGUAUGUAUGUAUGUAUGUAUGUAUGUAUGUAUGUAUGUAUGUAUGUAUGUAUGUAUGUAUGUAUGUAUGUAUGUAUGUAUGUAUGUAUGUAUGUAUGUAUGUAUGUAUGUAUGUAUGUAUGUAUGUAUGUAUGAAUGAAUGAAUGUAUGUAUGUAUAUGUGCAGAUUUCUAUGUUUUGCUUUAUGUAUGUAUUCUCAUGCAUAUACUUGCAUAUCUAGACAUGCUCAUAUAUAUUCAAAUGAUAAACUUCUGGUAAGUUUUACAGAUUUUUACAGUUCCAGGGAUGGAUUGGAUCUGUAGUCUUCAAAUUAGCUUUCUCCUUUCUGGUUUUGAGAAGCCUAAUUUCUCAAGAGUGAUAUUUAGGCAGUGUGUUACAUAUCCCAGGGCCUCAAUAAUUAUGUAUGUAUUGCUGGUGGUGGUGGUGGUGUUGGGGAGGUCAGUGUUGGUAUGGUUGUGUGGUUAAGAAGCUUGUUUCUCUACCGUGUGAUUCAUUUGUCACACAGCAUAGCACCUUGAGCAAGUAUUUUCUACCAUAGCCCUGGCAGACUAAAGCCUUGUGGGCAGAUCUAGUAGAUGGGAAUUGAAAGAAGCUUGUCAUACGUGUAAUAAUUGUAUGUGUGUGUGCACAUAUGCAUUUGUGCGUACUUUCAUGAUAUCAUUUGAAGUUCAAAGGCAUUCAAAUAAAGACUAUGCUGCCUUUUAUCUUUCACACAGUGUAUCUAAGGUUACAAAAACAAUGUGUCCUUUUUGAGUGUUUGAUUUGUUUUGCAGGUUGAGUUAGCACAAGGGACACACCCUCCUUGAUUCAUAUAAAUGUAAUUCUGUGUUAUAUUGUAGUUGCUGUAGUUUAACAACCUUGAAAAGACUUCUUUGUUGAUAUGUGAAUGGAAAUUUAAAUGUCAUGUAUUGCAGUUUAUUGAAAAGAUGAACGAAAUAUUGGGUUAUCUGGAAAGUUUGCGUCAAUUUUUAAAGGAAAGAAAAAGGUCAAUAAAUACUUGCCAUUACAUUUUUAAUCAACCAAAUAGGAACCAUUUUGUUGCACAAUGCAUCUCCAUCUUUCCUUUAACUCGAAAAUACCCUCUUCCCAGAACUGAGGUGGUUUCAUGGCAAAGAAUUCAUCAAGGUAUCUUUUUACGUCAUCCAAGGAAUUUAAAUUUUUACCAUUAAGACUAUUCUGCAGAGACCUGAAUAAGUGGAAAUCUGAAGGAGCAAUAUCUGAAUAUGGAGGGUGGGGUAACACAUCCCAGUCAAGCUGCAGCAAUUAUUGUCUGGUUCCCAAAGCAUCAAGUGCCAAAAAUGAACUUUCUUAUCUUCCAUUUUAAAAAGUUACAGAAAUAACACAGGUUAUAGGAACAUAAACCUUCUGCCACAAAAAGAUAGCUUAAACUGUGCUCUAAAUGGAAGUGUAGUCAAAUCCUAUUUUAUGGACUCAACCAUGUUCUAAAAUAAGUCAAAAGGUAAGCUACUAUAAAUCGGCACAAACUUUCUGGUCAUCCCAAUAUUUUGAAGAAAUGUGUAAUAUAUCACUAGCAAGCUCACUUGCUAUACUGUGCUCUAGAAGCAUUUAUAGCAUUGAUUUGCAUGAAUGCAACUAAUGACAACUAAUCAACAAACUCUAUUAAUCCUCUCAAAUAUAUAAUAUGAAACUGUUUAACUUCAAUCCAUUGUUAUUUUGAACACAUGCAAGCUUAACCCUUUAGUGUUCAGAUUACUUUGUCAAAUGUAAUACUUAUUUACUCACAUCAUUUUGAAUUCAUCAUGUAGUAUCCCAUAGCUUUGAGAUUUCAAAGACAUGACAGUCUAUAUUUAGAAUGACCUUAUAGGGUAAUUGUGAGAGGCCAAUCCAGCCAAUUUGAAUAUAAAUUAGGUAGAAAUUAUUUGGGCAUGAUAUGGCCAGUUUAAAUGCUAAAGAGUUAAAUCAUAAACUGUAUAACUACAAAACUGACCCCCACUCCCAAAAACUACUUGCCUUGUGCCAAACUUUGGAUACAGUUUAUUGUGAUAUUAUUAUCAGGUCUGUAAGGGUGGUUAAAUGGUAAUUAAUUUCAUUAAUUAAUGACUAGGUUCAAAUCCUGCCAGUCAGCUUCAGUGUUCCAUUUUAUCACAUCAUUAGUCUGCAGAAAAUAUUUACUGUAUUUAUUUCAAUAGGCUACAGCUACCCCAAUACAUCAUGUAUAAGUAUGAGGUUGGGUGAAUGGGUACAAGUUAUAUUAUACAAUAGAAAUUUAUACAAGGUCAAGGGGUCACCAGUUGACUAGGGUACACCAAAUCCCAAGAAACAUAGUUAGCAAAGAUGAUAACAGGACAUUUUGCUUAGUAUAUAAGAUAGCUGUUGUGUUGCUGUUAUUAAUGCUUUUUUUAGCCCUGCACAAACUUAUGGUGAAAUGCAUUUGAGCAUUGACAUCCCAUCUUUUUAUUUUCUAGACAUAAUAUACAUAGAUAGACUGCUUUGCCAUAAAAUUGUUAUGUCUUGGGCAACUGAUUUAAUUUGUGCUAAAGUCUUAUAGAACAGAGACUACUGUGUAUAACAUAGGAGCAAAGUUGUUAAUGUUGCAUAUGAAAACAUUAUGACAGUAGUUGGUAGUGUUUUGCAAUAUCCUUCUUCCAAUAGCUACAAAAGAAAUUUUCUUUUCACUAAGACAUAGUAAAGAACUCUUGAUCAGUCAACUUGCUGGUGCCAGUGUUAAUGCAUGUAUAAUCACAUUAAUAUUAAAACAUAUAUAAUGGCAGUGAGCAGGCAGAAUCAUUAGCAUACCGGACAAAAUGUUAACUGGUAUUCUGUCCGUCUACAUUCUGAGUUCAAAUUCUGCCAUGGUUGACUUUGCCUUUCAUCUUUCCAGGGUCGAUAAAAUAAGUACCAGUUGGAUACUGGGAUUGAUAUAAUUGACUAUCCCCCUCCCCCCAAAUUGCUGGCCUUUUACCAAAAUUUAGAACCAAUAUUGAUGAUAUAUAUAUGUAAAGGUCCAAGUAUGGUUAUAUGGUAAGUAGCUUACUUCCCAACCAUGUGGUUUUGGAUUCAGUCCCACUAUGUGGUACUCUGCACAAUUGUCUUCUACUACAGCCACUAGCAAAGCUGGGGAUGGGGGGGGGGUCCACACUGGGUGGCACUUUUGGGUCACCUGUAGGCAAUAUGUGAUUUUUGUGGGGUCCAGGAUUGGUAAACAGAAGGGCCACCCUGGGUGGGACACACUCUAGCUAUGCUAGUGACUACUGCCCCAGGCCAACCAAAGCCUUGUGAGUGGAUUUGGUAAGUGGAAACUUGAAGAAGCCCAUUAUGUACGUAUAUCUGUGUGUAUGCGUGUUACUGCCACCUUGCUAUAACUUCAUGCAAUAUUUGUAAAAGAAAUGUUAUAGUCAUGCAAGCAGCAUCAGUUGGUUUCAAUCUUCUGUGAAAACAUGCCUGGUCAUGGGGAAACAGGGGAGAGUUGGCAACAGGAAGGGCAUCUGACUGUAGUAAAUCUACACCUUUACAACCUCUGUUCAACUCAUGCAAGCGUGAGAAAGAGGAUGCUAAACAAUGAUGUUGAUGAUGAUGAUGAUAAUGAUGAUGGAUGUUACUAAUUGACAUAAUUGAUGAUUAAUUAUGCAGUACUAAACAGCAUUUAUUUGACUGCUGAAAUUUAAUGAAGGUAUAGCUACACUGUUAACUUCACUGCAAAAGGUAAACAAACUGGCAGAAAACUUUGGAAUUGUCCUGAUGGAUUUUUAUCUCUUUUUGGAGAUUCAUGACAGAUCAAAUAGCCUCAUUUUCUGUUCAUGGCUAUUUAUAUCAAAUACAAAUGCAAAAACAAGACUCAGAUGAAGUAAUAGAGAUCAAAUCUGAAUUUAAAGAAAAGUAUCAGCCUAAACUAAACAUAAAAUAUACUUCCAUACUUCUAUAUUACUGCAUAAAUAUGUUCUACACUAGAAUACUGCUUACACAUCCUAGGAUGAAGCACACAUCUUGGGAUGUAGCAUGCCACCUGGUCAAAGGUCAUGCAACUAGUUGACAAGUCUUUACUUGACUAUAUUCUUCAACCACUUGAAACCAUUUAACAUUUAAACUGACUUCUCUCUAUUUCUUAUCACUGCUUCAAUAGUCUCGACUGCUCUGAAUUUACUGAUGAUAAACCAACAUAAUUCAGCCUCAACAGGGGAGUUCCCCUGUGGUCAUUUGAUCUGCUUGUUACAAAUAGCAAUAUGAUGGCAUAAAUGAUGCCAAUGCCUUCUAGACAUUCCAAUUUCAGCAGCACAUAUUCAGGAAAUAUUUUUAAUGCAUUAAAUCUUAUGGGAGGGCCCAACUUUGCAUAUAGGACCUGGAGUGAUAUUUUUGAAGCAUUGUUUUUGCAAACAAGUGCAUCUUUUAAAUGCCAUCAAAUACAGUAACUGGCAAAUCUCUUUCUGAUCACACCCCAGCAACUUAAAAAGUAGGACACAUUGUCCUAGAUACAUUACAACUAUGUUUAUAGCUAGAGAGAAAAAAUGGCAUGCUUAUAGUUAGAAUAUCUUUGAUAAGGUCUAUUCAGUCUUGGCUAAUCUAAAGCUGAACAGCUACAACAGUUCCACUUCUUGAAUACUCCUUUCUCAUUCUCUUUUCUCUCUCUCUCUCUCAUCUCAGCUAUCAUGUUGCACCUUCUCCAAUCGUUGUAUGGAACAAUUUUUUCUUCAGAACUUUCUACCAAUCUUCUCUGAUCAUGUUUACCAUUUAGCUACUAAUCUACAAAAAUUCAAAUUUAAUAUUCUGCUCAUUUACUUUAAGCACUUGUUCCCCUAUAGUGUACAGGUGUAGGAGUGGCUGUGUGGUAAGUAGCUUGCUUACGAACCACAUAGUUCCGGGUUUAGUCCCACUGUGUGGCACCUUGGGCAAGUGUCUUCUACUAUAGCCUUGGGCUGACCAAAGCCUUGUGAAUGGAUUUGGUAGACGGAAACUGAAAGAAGCCCAUCGUAUAUAUGUAUAUAUAUAUAUAUAUAUAUAUAUAUGUAUGUAUGUAUGUGUGUGUAUAUGUUUGUGUGUCUGUGUUUGUCCCCUCAACAUCGCGUGACAACUGAUGCUGGUGUGUUUAUGUCCCCGUAACUUAGUGGUUCGGCAAAAGAGACCAAUAGAAUAAGUACUGGGCUUACAAAGAAUAAAUCCUGGGGUUGAUUUGCUCAACUAAAGGUGGUGCUCCAGCAUGGCUACAGUCAAAUGACUGAAACAAGUAAAAGAGUAAAGAGUAUUGUUCUGAAAGAUCAUAAUCACGACUCUUUCUCCAUAACCUAAAUGACUACAAAAAAAAAUAUAUAUAUAAUAUCUAAAAAGGUGUCUUUUACUAAAGUAAACUGGCCAAUAAGAGCAUUUGUUACAGUCUUGAAUGAUUAUUUCUUAUCAGGUUAUUCAUUAUACAGUUGAAGGAACUUUCACUGGCCCUUACUAUAUCAUCUUGAAGCUGAUCCAGAUCCCUGUCAUCUUUCAAAUGUUUUUCUUUUUCUUCAUAUUAAUAGUUUUGUUGUCAUUGAUGAAGAAUUCACAUGGUCACUCAGCCUGCUAAAAGUAGUAGCCUAAUCUUCUUGACACACAUUCUCUGCCACCUUAAAAAAGAGGAAGUACACAUUAUAUAAAUUUAGAGACCAUAUAUCUGUGGGCUUGACUGGAAUACUUUUGAUCUUAAAACCUGCUCAGUCAGAGCUGACAGGAAGUUAAACAACAAAAAGCAACUUCUAUACAGUUGAUUUCUCUCUAUAUUUUAUUUCACCUUCUCAUGCAUUUCAUUCUCACAAUCUGCUGAUAUUGUGGACAUUCUCCAUGAGCAGAGAGACUCAAAAUACAUCCUACAGGAAUGACAUAUCAAACUACUUUCAUUCAAUAACAACAACAACAACAAUAAUAAUAAUAGUUCACAAAAACAUAUUCAAUUAGGUAAUGAAUGACAGAAUGACAGUGAACGUAGUGACACUACACUUGAAAUCAGCAAUAUUUUUACCAUGUCUGACAUAAGAAUUUCCUAAGCUGUUAGUCUAUAGAUUUCAUCUGUCCAUCUUCACUUAGCAAGCUUCUUAUCAGAUGGUAACAUUGCUGCAUGCACUGAGUAAGUCCUCUAUGACCCACGUAUUAUUGACUCAGAUGUUUACCAGGGUUAGGCUAUGUCACCUGACAUUUGUUCCCAUAUAUCAACAUGCUUGUUGUCAGUUCUAAAAUUGCUCACUCAUUCAUAGAUGAUACUACUCCUCACCACUCCUCCUUGACAUCUGCACAUACAUGUCAUUGAUAUGUAACCUAAGCUCAUUACACCAAGCCUGCAGGUUCUUCACAAACCUUGAAAAUAUCAUGUGGUAUAUGGUAAUGAUCCUUUGCAUUCUGAUUUCAGAGCCUAACUGGGUCAACUUUACCUUUCAUAAUUCCAAGGUGAAUAAAAUAAUUGCUGGUCAAGUACUGAGGUGUACGUAAUUGACUAUGUCCCAGGUGAUAGUACCCAGUAAAAGAGUGACUAGAGAAUACAAAAUUGUACCAUCUCCAAUAAUGAACAAUGUACAGCUGUAACCUUAACUCUUCACUUUACAAAAGUUCUUCAUCAUCGUAGGUCAUUUGAACAAUGAAUUUGAAAUUGGCAUCUACAGCCAUAGAUAUAUUUCCUCAGAUACAUUCUUUUCUGUUAAGCAGUUCUUCUAAGUAUUAAGUACAGAUGUGGCCAUGUGGUUACGAAGUUUGCUUCUCAAUUACAUGGUUUUGGGUUCAGCCCCACUGCAUGGUACCUUUGGCAAGUGACUUCUAUAGCCCUAGAUUGACUGAAGCCUUAUGUGAGGAUCCAGUUGAUGGAAACUGAAAGGAGCCAAAGAAGUCUGUUGUACAUGUGUGUGUGUGUGUGUCCUUGUCUUACCAUAGUGUGAUAGUUGUAAAUGAGUGUCACUGUCAUACAAGCAGUAUCAUUUGUUUCCAGUAUUCUUCAAAAACAUGUCUGGCUACAAGGAAAUAUUACCUUCCUUGUAAACAGAUGAGAAUUGGCAAUGGGAAUGGCAUCUGGUCAUAGAAAAUCUGCCUCAAUAAAUCCCAUGCAAGCAAGGAAAGGUGGAUGAAUGAUGAUGAUGAUGAUGAUGAUGAUGAUGAUGGUUUCUGUUAUAGCCAGCUCAUUUUAAGAGUUAGCAAACAUGAUAAUACAGAGAUAGAAUCUCCAAAGCAUUCAUCUAAAAAAAAAAGAAAAGAUGAUACAUUUGAUAAUGUCCUAAAUAAACUGUAAAUUUACAAAAGAUAAGAUGACCUCAUCUGGAACACUAUUUAUCAUAGGUCUGCUAAGCGAUACCAACAAUUAUAUAUGUCUAGAAAUACACCUCGUGUUCUCGUGCAAAGUACUUCAUUUCAUGUUGCUCUGGGAUCAUUUUGUCAUCUGACAUGUGGCACCCGGUGAACCUGGUAGGUAAUAUCGAUUUUAUGGAGAGAGUCAGCUUAUGUGUACACAAACAUUUGAUCUCUAUAAGCAAAUCCUCUGUUGGUUGUUCGGCAAUUUCUUGCUGAACUUACAUAUGUUGUCUAACGAUGAGAGUCAAUGAAUGAAUGAAUGAAUGAUUGAUUGAUACGCACACACACACACACACACAUACACAUACACACAUACAUACAUACAUACAUGUAAAAAGUGUCAUAGAAUUUUUUUUAAAUUCUAGAAAUUCAUUUUAUUGAUCAAAUAUUUUUUGUCUAAAUGUCAAGAGAUACUCUGAAAAAUAGAGGCAGCAUAUAAAAUAUAAGGAACAAAUUAAUUUGUUAAGAACUAACUUAAUUGAGAGAAAUGACACAAUGACAAUGGGAUGUGAAGACUGAAAUCUUACCAUAACAGGCUUAGUUUUCCUUGCAGCACCAACAAAAGUGGAGAGAAGUAUCUCAACACGGUCAUUUGACUUAUAGCAGCCAAAUCUCCCAUAAGUUACAAUCUGCUGUCUUGAAAGAAAGAAGACAGACUAGAUAAUGUAGUCUUGGAUAUACAAAAUCUGAGAGAAGGACAUCGUAACCAGGGCUGGAAAAUCUUUGAUUACUAAACUCCUCAGUUACAGCUGAACAGGGCUAAACAAUAGCAAUUUCAUGUUGCCAUAUACCCAGAAAUCACAUAUUUCAGCAUCAAUGAAGAGAGUAAUAAACAUACUGUGGUUUGUUUUCACUGAUUUCACUGAUGCUGAAAUGAAAAGAUCAAUUCACAUUCCACAUCUUGGUAUUUUUUUUUCUGAACCAAACUUCACCUGAAGAAAACAUUUUUUUUUUCAUGAUGUAAUUGAAUUUAUUCAUCAAUAAAAAAUGCAUCUGCAACAGCUGUAGUGAACCUUUAACACAUUUGUGUUCUUAUAUAUAUAUAUAUAUAAUUAUUGAUAGUAGGGAAUAUAAAAUUCCAAAGCAACAGGGAAAAUCAGACUCAAUUUAGUAAUACUAAAUCAGAUUUCAUGAUAUAUUAAAUAUAUAUAGAAUUAAGAUAGAACCUCCAUUAAGUAAUUCAUUAAUAAUGAAAGAUAUUAUCUAUUAUAAAAUAUAAAUUUAAAUAUAUUACUAUUAACAUUGUACUAAAAAUUUCUAUACUGAUUAAUACACUUUAAAAAGCAUACACAUUAAAACGACAUUAUCAAUAUUGUGCUAAAAAUUUCUAUACUAAAUAAUACACAUUAAAAAAAUACACAUUAAAUUAUUAUAAUGUAUACAAUUUAUAAAUGUAUAGUGUAAUUAUAACAUCUUUAUCUAUGUUGUAAAUUUAUUUUAUGUUAUUGAGACUUGAAGAGUGGCUAUGUAUCGUUGGAUUGAAUAAUGUUAAUUUUUGAGAUUAUUGAUUUUGGUAUCAUAGAUUUGUAUACAUAGUCAUGAAACGCAUGUCAUCGUUUUAAUGUGUAAUAUUUAGUAUAGAAAUUUUUAGUACAAUAUUGAUAAUAAUGUCGUUUUAAUGUGUAUUAAUCAGUAUAGAAAUUUUUAGUACAAUGUUAAUAGUAAUAUAUUUAAAUUUAUAUUUUAUAAUAGAUGAUAUCUUUCAUUAUUAAUGAAUUACUUAAUGGAAGUGCUGUCUCUUAAUUCUCUCUCUCUCUCUCUCUAUAUAUAUAUAUAUAUACACAUACUAAAGCAGGGCUGGUUUCAGAAUCUUUGAAAGAUUCAAGUAGUAACAGUACUAAACAGUAAUGUUUGUUGCCACUUUGCAUGGAACAGCUAUGCAAAAGUGGCAACAAACAUUAUUAUAUAUAUAUAAAUACUCUUUAACUAGUUUCAGCUCGAAAUCUGUGGUCAUUCUGGGGCAGUUAAACUCCUCAAUGGCAGAUGUCUUUGAUGAUGAUAUAGUCUUAGAUAUACAAUGUCUGAAAAUAAGACAAGGUGGCCGUCAAGUUUUCAGCAUCAUUGAUCAUGUUUACUUUUGUAGGACUGGUCUGUAGUUAAAUAAUGCUCUUGUAAAAUCACUAUGUUUUCUACCUGACUGCAACAUAUAUGUAUAUAUGUAUGUAAAAAUGUAUCUAUGUAUGUUUGUAUGUAUGCAUGCAUGUCUGUGUCCAUAUAUAUAUAUAUUAUUUGUUUCAGCCAUUUGACUGUAGCCAUGCUGGAGCACCAUCUUUAGUUGAACAAAUUGACUCUAGAACUUAACCUAUCGGUCUCUUUUGCCAAACUCCUAAGGUAUGGGGAUGUAAACACACCAACAUCAGUUGUCAUGUGAUGGUAGGGGAACAAACACAGACACACAAACACAUGCACACACACACACAUACAACAGGCUUCUUUCAGUUUCCAUUUUUUAAAUCCACUCACAUGGCUUUGGUCAGCCUGAGGCUAUAGUAGAAGAUACUUGCCCAAGGUGCCACACAUUGGGACUGAACCCAUAAUCAUGUAGUUGGGAAGCAAGCUUCUAACCACACAGCCAGACCUGCACCUGCUACAGAAAAAGACUACAUGGAAAAAAAACAAAAAAACACAACGUGAGGAUGUAGCACAUGCAAAGUAUUAAUAAGAUGCUCACAGAAGGAAAAGAGUGGUUGCUUUAUGUUUCGAGCACAGCUCUUCUUUGGAAACAGGAAACAGGAAAGUCUAAAGGAAAAGGAAGAAGGAGGAAAAAAUCGCCAACACACACACACACAUGUAUUUUUUAAGCCUGUUAUUAGUGUUGAUGUUGUCAUUGCUAUUGUUGUAUGAUUAUGAAUAAGAAGCAGUUAUUCAUAAUUUUGCAUUAAAAUAUCUUUUUGGAAGUUAAAUAUUUAAAUAGAAAUGGAAUAUUAUAUAUAUUGCAUAGAUGCAUCUAUCACCCCUUUGCUCCCAACAUCCAUAUAAAUUUUCCUCUGCAGUCUUGGGCUGGUAUCACCCUUUUUGCAAAGCGCUUGAUGGUCCUACCACUAGCAAAACCAACAAGGUAGCUGGUUGGUUUUGCUAGUGGUAGGAAAUGUUUGUGCUAGGAAAGAAAAUAGUGGUGUAUUUCUGGACAUAUAUAAUUGUUGGUAUUGCUUAGCAGACCUAUGAUAAAUAGUAUACCAGUUGUGGUCAUCUUAUCUUUUGUAAAUUUACAGUUUGUUUAUGACAUUAUCAAAUGUAUCAUCUUUUUUUUAGAUGACCUGAGGAAGACUUGGCUGUUAUUUCUAGCAGAUUGAGUGAUGAGAGUCUGCUUUGUUGGUAGAUGUGAUUGCUACUGAUUUAGGUUGAGAUUGGUCAAUCUUGAUUGAAAAGACGAUGAUCAAGGGCAUUCCAGCUGAGACCAUCCCAUUUUUUCAGAGGUAUGUAUCUCUACAUGUGUUCUUGCCUUACUGAAGACACGGGGGAAGUCUGACUGUUAUUUUUAGCCAGGUGAGCGUCCACAUAGAGGCUCCCUCUUUGGUUCGUAACAGAUACUGUUGGUGUCAUUGCUUAGCCUCUGGUCAGACCUGAUUGAGGAGACUGACAAUCAAAGGCAUUCCUACUGUGACCAUCUCAUUCUUUUUCCUUAGGUCAAGGAACCUAGGAUCAUAUUAGCCAAUGUGCCCUUAUCUAAGAUGGUGAGAUUUGAUUAGAUACAUAUUUAGGUGCUAUUUCUAGCAGGUCGGAUGACCAUAUAAAAGCUCCUUUCUUGGUUUGACAAAUAUCAUUGGAAAUGACGGGGUGAGAUGAUUGGUAAACAUAGGGAGAUAACUCUGAUGUUUUUGAAAAAUCUUUAAAUUGAAUGGAGGGAAUGGUUUGCUGACUUGUGAAAGGCAAUCGCAAAGCAUAAUGAAUCUUUGAAUAGGUGCAGGAGUGGAAGUGUGGUGAAAAGUUUCCCUGCCAGGCAAGUGUGUUGUACUAUAGCCAUGGGCUAACCAGAGGCUUGGAAGUGGAUUUCAUAGAUGGAAAUUGUAAAAAGCCCAUAAUAUAUGUGUGUGUGUGUUGUAUUUAUCCACCACCACUAGUUGACAAUUGGCGUUGGUUUGCUUACGUUUUCGGAACUUAGCGGUUCGGCAAGAGUUCGAUAUUAAAAGUACUAGACUUUAAAAUAAAUAAGUACUGGGGUCGAUUUAUUUUACCAAGCUCUUUAACGUGGUACCACAGCAUGGCUGCACUCCAAUAACUAAGACAAGUAAAAGAUAAAGUAUUUAUAUAUGCUAUAUACUAACUUCAUCGUUCAUGUGGGAUGCAAUUUUUUUUUUGAAAACUUAUAAUAAUAUAAUAAUAAUGAAAUUAUUGAAUACAGUGCUCAAGUGCACCACAACUUGUCAAAAGUGCAUAUAAAAAAAUAUGCAGUAAUGUACAAAUGUUUGGGAAGUGAACACUGUAUGAGUCAGAUACAUGCUUGCGUGUGUAUAGAGGGGAGAAAAUCAGGUGUAGUGUUGGCAGAUCUCUGGAAGCAUGGAAGUUUUGAAGGAUGCAGUGCUCCGACAACUAACAACUGAUACCGGCAGUUUAUUCCAUGCUUCAGCAACUCUUAGCGUGAAAAACUGUUUCCGAAAGUCAUGGGAGCUGUGCUGUUUUCUGACUUUGUAAACAUGUCCACGGGUGUUAGACAGGUGGAUUUUGAAAAGGUGCUCAGAGUUAUUGUUUGUAAGAUCGUUAAUAAUUUUAUGGGUGUCUGCCAAGUCAGCUGCCAGACGUCCGAGUUUCAAUGUAUCCAUGCCCAGGGAAGUAAGGCGUUCAGAAUAUGAGCGACAUUGGACAAAAAGAAUUUGAGAAACACUAAUUUAAACUUAUCCCUUGUAGUUAACUUACAACUAUUAAUAAAAUAGGUAUCAUUAAGGGCGAUUUAGCCAAGUUUGUGUGGCCUCGCAAAUAACAAAAAAAAAAAAACCUUGUGGUCUUGCACCAAAAUUUACAAAAUAAUGAUUUGGUGAUGCAAACAGGAAAAUAGAACUAAAGACAUGAAUACGUGUAUUUUCUGGCACAAGAUGAAGCACCAACUGGUGUUGAAGAGUAUAUAAAUUGGAAUUAGUGAGUUUUAUAUAUAAAAAAGAAAAAAAUAUGGUUUGACCUGAAAAAGAGGCUGUACCCUAUGACUUUCACCGCUCCAUCCCCAGAGGUAGACUAUCUAGGACUGUAUUAGUUAAAGUCUAAUUCCUUUUUACGAGAGAACUGGAUAUUAAUUAUUUUUCCAAAUAGGUCAUGAAACUAUCCAGUUCUCUCUCGUUACUUGCUAGUAAAUUGUGGUUUAACCACUGAUCACUUUUGAUCGAAUUGGUUCAUUGUCCUGUUGUAUUUUUUUUCCUUUUAAGAACAGUGUACUACCAUUAUCUAAUGUAUCCCUUUUGUUUAAGGCUGUUGGUGAUGAAACUUAUCUAUUUACAGGGCACCUACAAGAAUUAAGGCAAGAAAUUUUUA